RNAcentral lists this ribosomal RNA (1351 nucleotides) under metagenome. RNAcentral describes it as "bacterial LSU rRNA". It matches the Rfam family "Bacterial large subunit ribosomal RNA", at positions 1564 to 2925 of the family's 2925-position model. The record is from RNAcentral.
UGAGUGCGAGCUGCUACGGCAGCGAAGUUGGUGAUGUCAUGCUUCCAAGAAAAGCCCUAUACCCGUUAAGGCAUCAUGGCCUGUACCCGAAACCGACACAGGUGGGGUGGUAGAGAAUACCGAGGGGCGCGAGGUAACUCUCUCUAAGGAACUCGGCAAAAUGGCCCCGUAACUUCGGGAGAAGGGGUGCCACCGCAAGGUGGUCGCAGUGAAGAGGCCCAGGCGACUGUUUACCAAAAACACAGGUCUCCGCUAAGUCGCAAGACGAUGUAUGGGGGCUGACGCCUGCCCAGUGCCGGAAGGUUAAGGAAGCUGGUCAGCGCAAGCGAAGCUAGCGACUGAAGCCCCGGUGAACGGCGGCCGUAACAAUAACGGUCCUAAGGUAGCGAAAUUCCUUGUCGGGUAAGUUCCGACCCGCACGAAAGGCGUAACGAUCUGGGCGCUGUCUCGGAGAGAGGCUCGGCGAAAUAGAAUUGUCUGUGAAGAUGCGGACUACGUGCACCCGGACAGAAAGACCCUAUGAAGCUUUACUGUAGCUUGGUAUUGUGCCCGGGCUCGCAAUGCGCAGGAUAGGUGGGAGGCUUUGAUCAUCGGCUUGCGGGUCGAUGUGAGCCAACGGUGAGAUACCACUCUUUGCGAGCUAGGGUUCUAACGGCCACCCGUCAUCCGGGGGCCGGACAGUACCUGGUGGGCAGUUUACUGGGGCGGUCGCCUCCUAAAAGGUAACGGAGGCGCGCAAAGGUUUGCUCAGGCUGGUUGGAAAUCAGCCGACGAGUGUAAAAGCAGAAGCAAGCUUGACUGUGAGACCAACAAGUCGAACAGGGAGGAAACUCGGCUUUAGUGAUCCGACGGUUCUGAGUGGAAGGGCCGUCGUUCAACGGAUAAAAGUUACUCUAGGGAUAACAGGCUGAUCUCCCCCAAGAGUUCACAUCGACGGGGAGGUUUGGCACCUCGAUGUCGGCUCAUCGCAACCUGGGGCUGAAGUCGGUCCCAAGGGUUGGGCUGUUCGCCCAUUAAAGCGGUACGCGAGCUGGGUUCAGAACGUCGUGAGACAGUUCGGUCCAUAUCCGGUGCACGCGCAGGAAUAUUGAGAGGAUUUCUCCCUAGUACGAGAGGACCGGGAGGAACGCACCUCUGGUGUACCAGUUAUCGUGCCAACGGUAAACGCUGGGUAGCCAUGUGCGGAGUGGAUAACCGCUGAAAGCAUCUAAGUGGGAAGCCCACCUCAAGAUGAGUAUUCCCAUGGCGUAAGCCAGUAAGGUCACGGGAAUAACACCCGUUGAUAGGCUCUAUGUGGAAGCGCAGUAAUGCGUGAAGCAGAGGAGUACUAAUAGACCGAGGGCUUGACCAA